Molecule: long non-coding RNA, 968 nt
Filed under: Equus asinus (donkey)
Lineage: Eukaryota; Metazoa; Chordata; Mammalia; Perissodactyla; Equidae
Description: lncRNA (ENSEASG00005030105.1)
Source: RNAcentral
UGAAGAUCAUUUUUAGAUGAGACUAACAUUUAAAUUGGUGGAUUUUAAGUAAAGCAGAUUACCCUCCAUAAUGCGCGGGCCUCAUCCAGUCAGUUGAGAGCCUUAAGAGAAAAAAGAUGGUGCCCUGAGAAAGCGGGAAUUCUGCUGCCAGCCUGCCUUCAGACUUGAGCCGCAUUGUCAGCUUUUCUCUGGGUCCUCAGCUUGACAGCCCGCCCUGCAGAUUUUGGACAUUCCAGCCUCUACAGUCAUGAGGAUUUCCUACACAGCACAAUUGGGCUCCUGAGACAUCUACACAGUUAUACAUCUGAAGGUGGGUGGAUUGGAUCCCUGGGAAACAGUAGAACUAGGUUGUUUAUAUUUCUGUUGGACUACAUUUUGGAUUUUGUAAAUUCAAGAGGAAAACAUGCAUCAGAUCCGUUUAUUUAAAGCAAUGUAGUGAUCAGAAGAACAAUUGAUUAUUUAAAGGUAAAUGGAUUUGGUCAGCAAAAUCAAAUGAUCUUGGAAACAUCAGCUUGAUAAACAUACAAAUGAACUUUAACCUGUGCUAAAUGCUUUUUAUUUCCUGAGAAUUAUUGAACAACGUUUUCAGGGAAAGUUAAAUAGAUUCACUACAAACUGUUACAUCUAGACUCUUUUUCAAUUUACACAAGGUUAUAUAUUGUUAUGGCAAAAUGAUACUAUUUUAAUAUAUUUCAUUUCAAUAUAUUAGUUCAGAAACUUUAUUCUGUGCUAUUUACAUUUCAAAUGUCUUAAGCAUAGAGAAGAAAAUUGAAUGUCCUAUUAGGGGAGAUAUUUAAGCAUCUAAACUUUAAUCUUAUUGUUAAAUACAUGGGUUUAGGCAUUUCUUCAAAAAAAAAAAAAAGAAAGGUAUAGAUUUGUAAGUAUAAGUAAAGGCACCAAAUCAAAUCCUGGAAGGGAAACUUCAGAGGGUUAGAAGAGGUUCAAAUAUAUGCAUCAGGAUCUCAACC